CAGUCGCCGCGGGAAUACGUAGGGUGCAAGCGUUAAUCGGAAUUACUGGGCGUAAAGCGUGCGCAGGCGGUUUGUUAAGACAGAUGUGAAAUCCCCGGGCUCAACCUGGGAACUGCAUUUGUGACUGGCAAGCUAGAGUCUGGCAGAGGGGGGUGGAAUUCCGCGUGUAGCAGUGAAAUGCGUAGAUAUGCGGAGGAACACCGAUGGCGAAGGCAGCCCCCUGGGCCAACACUGACGCUCAUGCACGAGAGCGUGGGGAGCAAACAGGAUUAGAUACCCCAGUAGUCCCUGUCUCUUAUAC
RNAcentral lists this ribosomal RNA (301 nucleotides) under uncultured bacterium. Its description in RNAcentral is "partial 16S ribosomal RNA". It matches the Rfam family "Bacterial small subunit ribosomal RNA", at positions 509 to 807 of the family's 1533-position model. The record is from RNAcentral.